RNAcentral lists this ribosomal RNA (252 nucleotides) under uncultured bacterium. Its description in RNAcentral is "partial 16S ribosomal RNA". It matches the Rfam family "Bacterial small subunit ribosomal RNA", at positions 524 to 776 of the family's 1533-position model. The record is from RNAcentral.
UACGUAGGGGGCAAGCGUUAUCCGGAUUUACUGGUGUAAAGGGGGCGCAGACGGCGAUGCAAGCCAGGAGUGAAAGCCCGGGGCCCAACCCCGGGACUGCUCUUGGAACUGCGUGGCUGGAGUGCAGGAGGGGCAGGCGGAAUUCCUGGUGUAGCGGUGAAAUGCGUAGAUAUCAGGAGGAACACCGGUGGCGAAGGCGGCCUGCUGGACUGCAACUGACGUUGAGGCCCGAAAGCGUGGGGAGCAAACAGG